CGUCUAUAUACGUAUAGCAUAUCAAUAAGCGGAGGAAAAGAAACUAACAAGGAUUCCCUUAGUAACGGCGAGUGAAGCGGGAAGAGCUCAAAUUUGAAAUCUUCAAGGUUUUACCUUGACGAAUUGUAGUUUAAAGAAGUGUUUUCUGUUGAAGUUUUGGUAAAAGUUCUUUGGAAUAGGACAUCAUAGAGGGUGAGAAUCCCGUAUUUGACCAUUAUUUUCCAGCUGUGUGAUACACUUUCAAAGAGUCGGAUUGUUUGGGAAUGCAGUCCAAAAUGGGUGGUAAAUUUCAUCUAAAGCUAAAUAUUGGCGAGAGACCGAUAGCGAACAAGUACCGUGAGGGAAAGAUGAAAAGAACUUUGAAAAGAGAGUUAAACAGUACGUGAAAUUGUCAAAAGGGAAGCGUUUGACACCAGUGUUGUUUUCUCGAAAAUCAAUUAAAAAGAGCUGGAUUUUGUGUUGUAUUGACUUUAAUCAGCUUUCUUCACUCUUUUCCUUGUCUUUUUUAAUGCACUUUUCGUUUAACAAGUCAACAUCAGUUUCUUUUGUUGUAAAAGGGUCAUUGGAAGGUGGCUUUCUUUUCGGAGAAAGUGUUUAUAGCCUUUGGCCUCUGCAAUCGGAGAGAUUGAGGUCUGCAGCGUAGAUCCUUCGGGGUUAGAUACAUUUGUGCUAAGUUAUAGCCUUUCAUAGACAACUUGUUGACUAUGAUCAGUCAUGUAGCUUACUCGCUUAUGCUAUUUUACCUACGCUUAGGAUGUUGACUGAUAUGUAGUCGUA
RNAcentral lists this ribosomal RNA (777 nucleotides) under uncultured Neocallimastigales. RNAcentral's name for it is "partial large subunit ribosomal RNA". It matches the Rfam family "Eukaryotic large subunit ribosomal RNA", at positions 26 to 644 of the family's 3401-position model. The record is from RNAcentral. Lineage: Eukaryota; Fungi; Neocallimastigomycota; Neocallimastigomycetes; Neocallimastigales.